AGUGAACGCUGGCGGUAGGCCUAACACAUGCAAGUCGAACGGCAGCACAGAGGAGCUUGCUCCUUGGGUGGCGAGUGGCGGACGGGUGAGGAAUACAUCGGAAUCUACUCUGUCGUGGGGGAUAACGUAGGGAAACUUACGCUAAUACCGCAUACGACCUACGGGUGAAAGCAGGGGAUCUUCGGACCUUGCGCGAUUGAAUGAGCCGAUGUCGGAUUAGCUAGUUGGCGGGGUAAAGGCCCACCAAGGCGACGAUCAGCAGCUGGUCGGAGAGGAUGGUCAGGCACACUGGAACUGAGACACGGUCCAGACUCCUACGGGAGGCAGCGGUGGGGAAUAUUGGACCAUGGGCGCAAGCCUGAUCCAGCCAUACCGCGUGGGUGAAGAAGGACUUCGGGUUGUAAAGCCCUUUUGUUGGGAAAGAAAUCCAGCUGGCUAAUACCCGGUUGGGAUGACGGUACCCAAAGAAUAAGCACCGGCUAACUUCGUGCCAGCAGCCGCCGUAA
This 506-nucleotide ribosomal RNA is filed under the name uncultured bacterium. Its description in RNAcentral is "partial 16S ribosomal RNA". It matches the Rfam family "Bacterial small subunit ribosomal RNA", at positions 29 to 523 of the family's 1533-position model. The record is from RNAcentral.